CCUACGGGAGACUGCAGUGAGGAAUAUUGGUCAAUGGCCGGAAGGCUGAACCAGCCAUGCCGCGUGAAGGUCAGUGCCCUAUGGGCGUUAAACUUCUUUUGUGCGGGAGCAAUAAUGGUCACGUGUGGCCAGACGAGAGUACCGUACGAAUAAGCAUCGGCUAACUCCGUGCCAGCAGCCGCGGUAAUACGGGGGAUGCAAGCGUUAUCCGGAUUUAUUGGGUUUAAAGGGUGCGUAGGCUGUGAGGUAAGUCAGCGGUGAAAUGCCCCCGCUCAACGGGGUGAAGUGCCAUUGAUACUGCCUGGCUGGAAUGCGGAUGCCGUGGGAGGAAUGUGUGGUGUAGCGGUGAAAUGCAUAGAUAUCACACAGAACACCGAUUGCGAAGGCAUCUCACGAAUCCGCGAUUGACGCUGAUGCACGAAAGCGUGGGUAUCAAACAGGAUUAGAUACCCGAGUAGUC
This 460-nucleotide ribosomal RNA is filed under the name uncultured bacterium. Its description in RNAcentral is "partial 16S ribosomal RNA". It matches the Rfam family "Bacterial small subunit ribosomal RNA", at positions 338 to 795 of the family's 1533-position model. The record is from RNAcentral.